GGGCGAAUAGCUCAGUGGGAGAGCACCUGCCUUACAAGCAGGGGGUCACAGGUUCGAAACCUGUUUCGCCCACCA
This 75-nucleotide transfer RNA is filed under the name Candidatus Methylomirabilota bacterium. RNAcentral describes it as "tRNA-Val". It matches the Rfam family "tRNA". Rfam says of the family: Transfer RNA (tRNA) molecules are approximately 80 nucleotides in length. RNAcentral also lists the same sequence under 2 other names. Lineage: Bacteria; Methylomirabilota (SeqCode). The record is from RNAcentral.